This is a long non-coding RNA of Pseudoliparis swirei, 351 nucleotides long. RefSeq lists it as uncharacterized. The transcript has 3 exons. Lineage: Eukaryota; Metazoa; Chordata; Actinopteri; Perciformes; Liparidae. The record is from RefSeq and is a predicted model, not a curated record.
CCAGGACAAGAGAGGAGGAGGUGACUGGCGAUGCAGGGGACGAUGACGCAGCUGAAGCUGAAGGUGCAUCGUCCACACACACACAGCCAGGAGGACACGAGGCUGCAGGGACACCCAGAGGACCAGAGAUGAAAGGCAACUGUGAUUCUGAAGCUGAACCUGGUGCUGGUCCUUCAUCUGUGAACGCCGAGCCCCCUCAGACCAGUGACACUCCAGACCCGUUUGGAUCUGGGUACUUGGAUUACGUGUCGGACUCGCAGCUGAACACCAUCAUUCUGUCUGAGGAGGUGGAGAUGGAGAUAGAUGAUCUUGAUUGCCCAGAUCAUGAAGAUGCUACAGACCUGAUCUGUG